UACGUGAGGGGCGAACGUUGUUCGGUGUCACUGGGCUUAAAGGGCGCGUUGGUGGUUGUGUAAGUAACGUGUGAAAUCCCUCGGCUUACCCGGGGAAUUGCAUGUUAUACUGCAUGACUUGAGGAUCAGAGGGGAAUGGGGAACUCCAGGUGUAGCGGUGAAAUGCGCAGAUAUCUGGGGGAAGGCCGGCGGCGAAGGCGCCAUUCUGGCUGAUUCCUGACACUGAGGCGCGAAAGCGUGGGGAGCAAACAGG
This 253-nucleotide ribosomal RNA is filed under the name uncultured bacterium. RNAcentral's name for it is "partial 16S ribosomal RNA". It matches the Rfam family "Bacterial small subunit ribosomal RNA", at positions 524 to 776 of the family's 1533-position model. The record is from RNAcentral.